AUGGACAUCGCGGAGUACGUCGCGUUCAUGGCCGGCGGCGGCCGGGGCCCGCGGGGCGAGGAGCUGCGGCGGAGGGCCAAGGACCACCUGCUCGCCUCCGGGUGGACCUUCUACAGGUUCGCCAAGUGCGACGGCCGCCAGGAGCUCCGCUACCGCGCGCCCCACGGCGCCUCCUACAUCUCCCUCAUCGUCGCCUGCAAGAAGUUCCAGCUCUUCAGCACCGCGCCCCCGAGGACGACUGCUCGUGGGAAGCCGAGCAAGAAGCGCGCGGCGCCGGAUUGUUCGUCCGGGGUGGGGAAGGAGAUCGCUCGUGUGAUAAGCCCGAUCGGUGCGGAAAAUGGCGGCCGUAAGCGGGGCUUUGGAGGCGGCGAGGACGUGUGUGGGCCGGCCGUCGGCAAUCCGUUCGCCGGCGAGUGCCCCGCGAGGCGCCGGAAGGUGAGGAGGGUGUCCGCGCUCUACGCCGACGACGCCCUCAAGAAGUACGCCGCCAAGAAGAAGAGGAAGAAAGCGUCGGCGUCUCCCCAGAGUCCUGCGUCUCCCCCGGCGUCUCCCCAGAGUCCUGCGUCUACCGCGGCGUCGCCGUCGCGCGUGCUGCGGCCGAGGACGAAAGACGGCGACAAGGCACAGGCGGCGGCGGCGGCGGCGUGCCAGCCGACCCGCGCGAGGACGAUCCUCGCCGUGCUCAUGGACAAGAAAAUCCUUCCCCCGACGGCAAAGCUGUCCUACAAGCGAACCAGGGACGGGCCUCCGGCCAAGCAGGGCACGGUCACUGUGCAAGGGACCAUACGGUGCGCGUGCGGCUGCGGCGGCAAGGCCUUCACCGUGGCGGAGUUCGCGGCGCACGCGGGAGGGUGCGGCGCCGAGCGGCCGUCGGCGAGCGUGUACCUCAACGACGGCAGGUCGCUGUCGCAGUGCCUGGUGCAGCUGAUGCGCGCCCACGGCGGCAACAUGCUGCCCACAGGCUCGCCGUCGCCGCGCGCGAGGCUGAAGCGCAGAUGCCCGCCCGAGCUGGGGGACGGCGACUGGGUGUGCUCCGUCUGCGCCGACUUCGGCGACAUGCUGCUCUGCGACUGCUGCCCCUCCACGUUCCACCACGGCUGCGUCGGCCUCGACGCCACCCCGCAGGGGGAGUGGUUCUGCCCUUCCUGCCGGUGCGCCGUCUGCGGCUCCAGCGAGUUCGAGCCCGACGACGGCGAGUUCACCGACAAGACGGUGAUCUACUGCGACCAAUGCGAACGAGAGUAUCAUGCCGGCUGCAUCAGGGGCAGAGGCGACCAGCUCGAGUGCUGCCCGGAAGGGCCAUGGCUGUGCAGCCAUGACUGCUCGAACAUUUUCCAGCGUCUGCAAGGGCUGGUUGGAAGAUCAAUGCCAACCUCAGUGGAAGGCGUAACCUUCACCGUGUUGAGAUCGACGAACCUCCCCGAGGAGGAGGGCAUGGCGGCCGAGGAGCACGGGAAGCUGUGCGCGGCGUUCGACGUGCUCCACGAGUGCUUCAUCACCCUCAUCGAGCCGCAGACGCGGACCGACCUCAGCCACGACAUCGUCUUCAACAGAGAAUCGGAGCUGAGGCGGCUCAAUUUCCGGGGAUUCUACGUGGUAGGUCUCGAGAAAGGUGGCGAGCUCAUAACCGUGGGCACGCUCAGGGUGUAUGGGAAGAAGGUUGCGGAGCUGCCGCUCAUCGGGACCCGGUUCGUGCAUCGCCGGCAAGGGAUGUGCCGCCUCCUCAUAAACCAACUGGAAAAGUUGCUUGGCGAGUUGGGGGUGGAGAGGCUUGUGCUGCCGGCGGUGCCCGAGCUUCUACCGACAUGGACCGGAUCCUUCGGUUUCCAAUCCAUGAGUCAUUCCGACAAGAUGGAGAUUGCAGAGCACACCGUCAUGUGCUUUCAGGGAACCACGAUGUGCCAGAAGUUCAUCGUCGGCACGGCGACUCCAUGA
Molecule: ribosomal RNA, 1935 nt
Filed under: Triticum aestivum (bread wheat)
Lineage: Eukaryota; Viridiplantae; Streptophyta; Magnoliopsida; Poales; Poaceae
Description: partial small subunit ribosomal RNA
Source: RNAcentral